Molecule: ribosomal RNA, 545 nt
Filed under: Dysidea sp. G313634
Lineage: Eukaryota; Metazoa; Porifera; Demospongiae; Dictyoceratida; Dysideidae
Description: eukaryotic LSU rRNA
Rfam family: Eukaryotic large subunit ribosomal RNA
Source: RNAcentral
AACCAGAAGGCGCAAUGAAAGUGAAGGCACGGUCGCCGUGCUGAGGUGAGAGCCGGCCCCGACGGGACGGCGCAUCAUUGACCGAUCCCAACCGCACUGCUCGCAGUGUGGCGGGAUUCGAGUGAGAGUGUACCUGUUGCGACCCGAAAGAUGGUGAACUAUGCCUGAAUAGGGUGAAGCCAGAGGAAACUCUGGUGGAGGCCCGUAGCGAUUCUGACGUGCAAAUCGAUCGUCAAAUUUGGGUAUAGGGGCGAAAGACUAAUCGAACCAUCUAGUAGCUGGUUCCCUCCGAAGUUUCCCUCAGGAUAGCUGUAGCCCAAAGCAGUUUUAUCAGGUAAAGCGAAUGAUUAGAGGUAUCGGGGAAGAAACUUCCUCGACCUAUUCUCAAACUUUAAAUAGGUAAGAAGUCCGACUUGCUUAAUUUGAAGCCGGACACAGAAUGCUGGGUUACUAGUGGGCCAUUUUUGGUAAGCAGAACUGGCGAUGCGGGAUGAACCGAACGCAGAGUUAAGGUGCCAAAGUCGACGCUCAUCAGAUCCCACAAA